CUUCAGCGGAUCUCUAUUGAGAAAAUCCAUCAAACUGACAGAGCUAUGCAUAUGUGCACUGGGCAUGAGCUUUAAAAGCCAUUUUAUUUUGUCUUCUUCCCCCUCAAAUAGAGGUUGCUUUGAAAUUUCAUGGCAACAAUAUGAGUCCAGUAUGUAUGAUUUUUCCAAAAUUUGAAAUUUUUUUCAGUUUUUAAGUAUCUGUGUUGUAUAUGCAGACUGG
This 220-nucleotide unclassified non-coding RNA is filed under the name Hevea brasiliensis (rubber tree). Lineage: Eukaryota; Viridiplantae; Streptophyta; Magnoliopsida; Malpighiales; Euphorbiaceae. The record is from RNAcentral.